This 520-nucleotide ribosomal RNA is filed under the name uncultured Ambispora. RNAcentral describes it as "SSU rRNA". It matches the Rfam family "Eukaryotic small subunit ribosomal RNA", at positions 569 to 1088 of the family's 1831-position model. The record is from RNAcentral. Lineage: Eukaryota; Fungi; Glomeromycota; Glomeromycetes; Archaeosporales; Ambisporaceae.
AGCAGCCGCGGUAAUUCCAGCUCCAAUAGCGUAUAUUGAAGUUGUUGCAGUUAAAAAGCUCGUAGUUGAAUUUUGGGUCUGGCCGGGCGGUCCGCCCUCUGGGUGAGCACUGUUCCGACGUCGGGCCUAUCCUUCUGGUGAGUCGGCAUGUCCUUUAUUGGGUGUGUCGGGGGAACCAGGACCAUUACCUUGAAAAAAAUUAGAGUGUUCAAAGCAGGCGUAUGCUCGGAUACAUUAGCAUGGAAUAAUGAAAUAGGACGCGUGGUGCUAUUUUGUUGGUUUCUAGAACCGCCGUAAUGAUUAAUAGGGAUAGUUGGGGGCAUUAGUAUUCAAUUGUCAGAGGUGAAAUUCUUGGAUUUAUUGAAGACUAACUUCUGCGAAAGCAUUUGCCAAGGAUGUUUUCAUUAAUCAAGAACGAAAGUUAGGGGAUCGAAGACGAUCAGAUACCGUCGUAGUCUUAACCAUAAACUAUGCCGACUAGGAAUCGGGCGAUGUUAUUCUCAUGACUCGCCCGGCGUCU